Molecule: ribosomal RNA, 497 nt
Filed under: uncultured bacterium
Lineage: Bacteria
Description: partial 16S ribosomal RNA
Rfam family: Bacterial small subunit ribosomal RNA
Source: RNAcentral
GAUGAACGCUGGUGGCGUGCCUAAUACAUGCAAGUCGAGCGAACAGACGAGGAGCUUGCUCCUCUGACGUUAGCGGCGGACGGGUGAGUAACACGUGGAUAACCUACCUAUAAGACUGGGAUAACUUCGGGAAACCGGAGCUAAUACCGGAUAAUCUAUUGAACCGCAUUGUUCAAUAGUGAAAGACGGUUUUGCUGUCACUUAUAGAUGGAUCCGCGCCGCAUUAGCUAGUUGGUAAGGUAACGGUUUACCAAGGCAACGAUGCGUAGCCGACCUGAGAGGGUGAUCGGCCACACUGGAACUGAGACACGGUCCAGACUCCUACGGGAGGCAGGAGUAGGGAAUCUUCCGCAAUGGGCGAAAGCCUGACGGAGCAACGCCGCGUGAGUGAUGAAGGUCUUCGGAUCGUAAAACUCUGUUAUUAGGGAAGAACAAAUGUGUAAGUAACUAUGCACGUCUUGACGGUACCUAAUCAGAAAGCCACGGCUAACUACGUG